This 3018-nucleotide long non-coding RNA is filed under the name Ananas comosus (pineapple). RNAcentral describes it as "long non-coding RNA (ACOM_LNC002452)". The record is from RNAcentral. Lineage: Eukaryota; Viridiplantae; Streptophyta; Magnoliopsida; Poales; Bromeliaceae.
UAUAUGAGAUAGAAUACUAUUAAUAGUAUUUGGACUAUUUUGCUAUUAAUUUUUUAAUUAUUAAAUCUACACAAUCAAUCACACCCUUUAGAUCAUACUAUUCAACCAACCACCCACUCAAUCAUAGAGAGACCACCAUUAAAUCCCAGGAGACGCUAUCAUUUUAACCUUACAAUUUUUCAUCCUAACCCAGCUAUAGUAUUUUGAACAUUNUGAUGUUGAAAAGAUUUGAAAUUUGAUUUCUAAACACUUCAAGUGGCAUAGAUCAUGUUCAACGGUACCGAUCAUCAAUUUGGAAGCUCCAUCAUCGAAAAUAAAUGGGUGGCAAUGGAGCUCGUUUGCUAUCGAUAGUAUUCUAGCUCAACUCUAUAUAUAUAUAUAUAUAUAUAUAUAUAUAUAUAUAUAUAUAAAGUAGAGUUACUAUACUAUUCGAAGUAUAGAGAAUUUGAUACUUUCAUUUUUUUGGCUCUUAGAUUAGCCUUUUAAUCAGAAGUAUAGAUAAUUUGAUACUUUCAAUUUUUUAGCUCUUAUAUCAGUCUUUUUAAUUAUUUUUAAUCUUUAGAUUACAUUUUUAAUCUUUGGAUUAAUACUAUUAUUCUGUGGUGACUACUCAAUCCCAAGAAUAUUAUUCAACUUUAGAGGGGACCGUCAUCAUCUCAAUCGUACAAUUCUUUAUCCAAGAGUCAAAAAAUCGAAAGCAUCAAAUCCUCUGUAUUUUCGAUAGCAUAGUAACUCUAACUCUACACUAUAUAUAUAUAGAAUUAGGCUACUAUACUAUUUAUAGUACCGGAGCUCCGGUACUAUAGUCUUAUUUUCGAUCUCAGGAUAUUCAAAUUAAUAAUUCACACCGUUAAAUAUGAUCUAGGGUAUAUGAAGUUCUUAGGAAUAAAAUUUUAGUUUUUUUUUACAUCGUUUACUAAGUAAAUAAAUUAUNAUACCGUUAAACGUUAUUUACAGUAUUUAUAACUUCUAGAAAUCAAAUUUUAUAAUUUUUCGACAUCAUUUACCUUACGAUCAAGAGGUCACAAAUUUGACAAUUUUUAAUGGCCGGUAUGGGAUACUUGCUAGUUUAACGGUGUAAAAGAAUUGGAAUUUGUUGAAUUUUUGAUAGAAAAUUCUAUUCACUACCUAGAUAAAGAUCAAUAACUCCGAUCUUGAAUUGAAGGAUCCGAUCAUCCUUUUUAGAAUGUCGUUCGAUUUUGACCGUUCAUUUUAUGCCCGCAUGAUGGACUUUAUUAUGAUUUUGAAAAUUUACGAAAUUUAUUUUCUAGAAGUUUCAAAUACUUUAGAUCAUAUUUAACGGAGUGGAUCGUCGAUUCGAAAGCUCCAUCAUCGAAAACAACUUAUGAGUACGAGGGCUCCAACACUCAUAAUAGUAUAGUAGUCAUGGCCUAUAUAUAUAUAUAGAGUCCGGCUAUGGUGCUUGUAAAAGCACCAAGCACUUGGUGCUUGUGAAUUUUUUACCGUUAGAUUUACGACUUUGAUCAUUUUCAUCCAUUAGAUUAUACUAUUCAACCAACCACCCACUUAACCCAAGGGGGCCCACAUGAUCCUAACCGCACAUCUAUUAAUCCAAAGGCUAAAAACUUACAAGCACCAAUGACUUGGUACUUUUAAAAGCAUAGGAGCUCAAUUAUAUAUAUAUAUAUAGGCUGGGGCUACUAUACUCCUAUGAGUACAGAACCCUUUGUACUCAUAAAUUUUUAACCGUUGAUUGAUAGGAUGUGUGGUUAGGAUGAUGGCGGUCCCCACUUAGAAUGAUAGUGGUCCCCUAGGGUUGAGUGGGUAGUUGGUUGAAUAGUAUGAUCUAACGGGUGGAAAUGAUCAUGGAAUAAAUCUAAGGGCUGAAAAUUUAUGAGUAUAAGGGAGCCAAUACUCAUAAAAGUAUAGUAGCCGGACUCUAUAUAUAUAUAGAGUCCGGCUAUUAUACUAUUAUGAGUACGAUCGCCCUCGUACUCAUAAGUUAUUUUCGGUGAUAGAGCUUCCAAAUCGACGAUCCAUACCAUUAAACGUUAUCUAGAGCAUUUGAAACAUCUAGAAAUCAAAUUUCAUAACUUUUUGACAUCCUUUACCUUACGAUCAAAAGCUCACAAAAUUGAUAAUUUUUAACGGCCGGUAUGGAAUACUUGCUAGUUUAACGGUGCAGAAGAAUCCGAAUAGGUUGAAUUUUUGAUAGAAAAUUCUAUUCACUAACUAGAUAAAGAUCAAUAACUCCGAUCUUAAAUUGAAGGAUCCGAUUAUCCAUUUUUAAGAUAUCGUUCGAUUUGACCGUUCAUUUUAUGCCCGCUUGAUGGACUUUAUUAUGAUUUCGAAAAAUUACGAAAUUUAUUUUCUAGAAGUUUCAAAUACUCUAGAGCAUAUUUAACGGAGUGGAUCAUCGAUUCGGAAGCUCCAUCAUCGAAAACAACUUAUGAAUAUGAAGGACCCAAUACUCAUAAUAGUAUAGUAGUCCUACUCUAUAUAUAUAUAUAGUAGGUCUUGUGUGCUAUUAGGAGCACGGAGGCUUCUGUGCUCCUAAGCCGUUUUCAAUGAUGGAGCUUCCGAAUCGACAAUCGGCUCCGUUAGACUUGAUCUAGCAUGUUUGAAGCAUCUAGAAAAUAAAUUUUGUGACUUUUCGAUAUCAUUUACCUAAUGAUCGAAAGGGUUCAAAAUCAACGGCUGAAAAUAAAAAUUUCACAAAAAGUGGUGAUAUAGCAUUAAAAUUUUCGAUCAAACAUAUUGAUCUUGCUGUAAAUAGUAUAAAGAAUUUUCUAUCAAAAUUUCAUCUGAUUUGAAUACUUCUAUACCGUUAAACUUACAAACGGUAUACAUCAACCAUUAAAAAUUGUUGAUUUUGAACUCUUUCGAUCGCUAGGAAAAUGAUACUGAAAAAUCACAAAAAUUAUUUUCUAGAUAGUUCAAAUACGCUAGAUCAAGUCUAACGGAGCCGAUCAUCGAUUCGGAAGCUCUAUCAUCGAAAACGGCUUAGGAGCACGGAGGCCUCCGUGCUCCUAAUAGCACACAAGACCUACUCUAUAU